CAGGGGGUAGUUUAAAUCAAAAUAUUAACUUUGGGAGUUAUUGAUAAAAUCUUUUUUUUCCUCUGA
RNAcentral lists this transfer RNA (66 nucleotides) under Rhabdoblatta nigrovittata. Its description in RNAcentral is "tRNA-Pro". The record is from RNAcentral. Lineage: Eukaryota; Metazoa; Arthropoda; Insecta; Blattodea; Blaberidae.